CCCUUAGAUGUUCUGGGCCGCACGCGUGCUACACUGAGUGGAUCAGCGGGUCAGGCUGCGCGAAAGCGUUUCCUAAUCUUUAAAUCCGCUCGUGAUGGGGAUUGACGGUUGCAAUUUUCUGUCAUGAACGAGGAAUACCUUGUAAGCGCGGGUCAUCAUCCCGCGCUGAAUACGUCCCUGCCCUUUGUACGCACCGCCCGUCGCUCCUACCGAUUGAGUGGUCCGGUGAGGCUUUGGGAUCUGAGCGGAAAGAGCGUUUCGCUGUUUCUGCUCGGAAAACUCAGUCGAACCUUAUCAUUUAGAGGAAGGAGAAGUCGUAACA
Molecule: ribosomal RNA, 322 nt
Filed under: uncultured eukaryote
Lineage: Eukaryota
Description: partial 18S ribosomal RNA
Rfam family: Eukaryotic small subunit ribosomal RNA
Source: RNAcentral